GACAGACUUAAAAUAUUUAAUUUCUUCAUUAAAAUUUUAUCUUAAUUCAACAUCGAGGUCGCAAUCUUUUUUAUCAAUAUGAACUCUUUAAAAAUAUUACGCUGUUAUCCCUAAGGUAAUUUAAUUUAAUUUCAAUAAUAUUGAAUAAUUAAUUCAUAAAUACAUGUAAUUAUUUUAAAAAAUUUUAUAAAAUUUUUUUAAAGCCCCAGUAAAAUAAAUUUAAUUUAAAUUAAUUUUUAGUUUAUUUAAAUUAAUAUUAUAAAAUUCUAUAGGGUCUUCUCGCCUUUUAAUUAUUUAUAAGAAUUUUAACUUAUAAUAAAAUUUAAUUAAUUAAAUUGAGACAGAUUUUAUUUCAUUCAAUCUUUCAUCCUAGACUUAAAUAAUAAGACAAAUGAUUAUGCUACCUUAGUACAGUCAAAAUACUGCAGCUAUUUAAUUAUUCAUUGAGCAGAUUAGAUUUAAUAUUAUUAUCAAAAAACCAUGUUUUUGAUAAAC
This 495-nucleotide ribosomal RNA is filed under the name Aiolomorphus rhopaloides. Its description in RNAcentral is "partial 16S ribosomal RNA". Lineage: Eukaryota; Metazoa; Arthropoda; Insecta; Hymenoptera; Eurytomidae. The record is from RNAcentral.